Molecule: small RNA, 125 nt
Filed under: Marmota monax (woodchuck)
Lineage: Eukaryota; Metazoa; Chordata; Mammalia; Rodentia; Sciuridae
Source: RNAcentral
GCCAGGCAUGGUGGCACAUGCCUGUAAUCCCAGUAGCUCGGGAGGCUGAGGCAGGAGAAUCGCGAGUUCAAAGCCAGUCUCAGCAAUGGCGAGGCACUAAGCAACUCAGUGAGACCCUGUCUCUA